CCGACGGUGAGAGAUGAAGCCCUGGGGCGCAAACGGGAUUAGAUACCCCGGUAGUCCAGGGUGUAAACGCUGCGGGCUUGGUGUUGGGGGUCCUUAGUGGGCGCCCAGUGCCGGAGAGAAGUUGUUAAGCCUGCUGCUUGGGGAGUACGUCCGCAAGGAUGAAACUUAAAGGAAUUGGCGGGGGAGCACCGCAACGGGAGGAGCGUGCGGUUCAAUUGGAUUCAACGCCGGACAACUCACCAGGAGCGACGAUUACAUGAAGGCCAGGCUGAUGACCUUGCCUGAUUUUUCGAGAGGUGGUGCAUGGCCGUCGUCAGUUCGUACUGUAAAGCGUUCUCUUAAGUGAGAUAACGAACGAGACCCUCACUAAUAAUUGCU
RNAcentral lists this ribosomal RNA (378 nucleotides) under uncultured archaeon. RNAcentral's name for it is "bacterial SSU rRNA". It matches the Rfam family "Archaeal small subunit ribosomal RNA", at positions 691 to 1068 of the family's 1478-position model. The record is from RNAcentral.